RNAcentral lists this ribosomal RNA (451 nucleotides) under uncultured organism. RNAcentral's name for it is "partial 16S ribosomal RNA". It matches the Rfam family "Bacterial small subunit ribosomal RNA", at positions 332 to 799 of the family's 1533-position model. The record is from RNAcentral.
UACACUCCUACGGGAGGCAGCAGUGGGGAAUAUUGGACAAUGGGCGCAAGCCUGAUCCAGCCAUGCCGCGUGAGUGAUGAAGGCCCUAGGGUUGUAAAGCUCUUUCACCGGUGAAGAUAAUGACGGUAACCGGAGAAGAAGCCCCGGCUAACUUCGUGCCAGCAGCCGCGGUAAUACGAAGGGGGCUAGCGUUGUUCGGAUUUACUGGGCGUAAAGCGCACGUAGGCGGACUAUUAAGUCAGGGGUGAAAUCCCGGGGCUCAACCCCGGAACUGCCUUUGAUACUGGUAGUCUUGAGUUCGAGAGAGGUGAGUGGAAUUCCGAGUGUAGAGGUGAAAUUCGUAGAUAUUCGGAGGAACACCAGUGGCGAAGGCGGCUCACUGGCUCGAUACUGACGCUGAGGUGCGAAAGCGUGGGGAGCAAACAGGAUUAGAUACCCGAGUAGUCCCAUG